Molecule: long non-coding RNA, 498 nt
Organism: Callorhinchus milii (elephant shark)
Lineage: Eukaryota; Metazoa; Chordata; Chondrichthyes; Chimaeriformes; Callorhinchidae
Exons: 4
Source: RefSeq, a predicted model, not a curated record
AUCUCUGCUAAAGACCUUUCUUUUCGACCGCGCCUUUGGCCACCUUCCUCAUCUAUCUAAUCUUCCCUGGAGAGACAAACCAUAGGCAGCAAAAUUUGUGCCAACACCUCUGAUGACAGCACAGCCAACCUGGCUCAUCAACAGGACUUAGAAGGACAGACCAAGUGGAGAUAUACCACUCAGCUCCUAUUAACUCUGCAAGCCAAAGCCCUAACAGGACCAGCUGUGAAAGCAAGGACUGAAUGAACAAUUAUGCAAAAGGGAAGAUCAAUAAACUAUUCACAAAGCAUGAGAUGUUUCCAUCUACAAGGAAAACAUUGGGGUGCAAUAAUGGAACUUGAAUGAAAAGGAGAAGCAAAGCAAAAUGGAGAAGCGGGUUGACCUCUUCAUGAAUUAUACUGUAUUUAAAAAUCUGUUUACAAUGAAGAUGAAAGAACAAAAAAUAAACCAAAGUGUGUAUUGAACUGCAUUAGUGCUGAUGCUCCAUUUUACUUUCUG